GGAUUGUGGCUCAGUGGUAGAGUACUCACCUAGCAUGUGUGAGGCCCUGGGUUCGAUCCUCAGCACCA
Molecule: transfer RNA, 68 nt
Filed under: Marmota monax (woodchuck)
Lineage: Eukaryota; Metazoa; Chordata; Mammalia; Rodentia; Sciuridae
Description: tRNA.Ala
Rfam family: tRNA (bases 5-65)
About the family: Transfer RNA (tRNA) molecules are approximately 80 nucleotides in length. Their secondary structure includes four short double-helical elements and three loops (D, anti-codon, and T loops). Further hydrogen bonds mediate the characteristic L-shaped molecular structure. tRNAs have two regions of fundamental functional importance: the anti-codon, which is responsible for specific mRNA codon recognition, and the 3' end, to which the tRNAs corresponding amino acid is attached (by aminoacyl-tRNA synthetases). tRNAs cope with the degeneracy of the genetic code in two manners: having more than one tRNA (with a specific anti-codon) for a particular amino acid; and 'wobble' base-pairing, i.e. permitting non-standard base-pairing at the 3rd anti-codon position.
Source: RNAcentral